This is a long non-coding RNA of Bubalus bubalis (water buffalo), 12004 nucleotides long. RefSeq lists it as uncharacterized. The record is from RefSeq and is a predicted model, not a curated record. Lineage: Eukaryota; Metazoa; Chordata; Mammalia; Artiodactyla; Bovidae. The transcript has 4 exons.
GAUGGUUGGAUGACAUUGUCAACACAGUGGACAUGAGUUGGAAGGACAGGGAAGCCUGGUGUGCAGCAGUCCGUGGGGUUACAGAGAGUCAGGCACGACAGGAACUGAACAACAAACAACAAAGAUAGGGUGGUAACAGCCCUGUCCACGCAGAGACGUUGUGAGGAGUAAACGAGUUAGUACUGGCAGGGUGCUGGGAACUGUCCACUGUAGCCGUCGCUUGUUUUUAUUGUCGCUGUGGGGGCUUCUGGGGGAGGGGAGGGAGUGCAGGACCAGCGUCACUGCAGGGCUGGUCCAGCCCCACCCGCGAUGGCAAAGGCGGAGGAGACAAGUCACAGGCCACCACCAUGCCACCCAGUGCAGGCUCUGGCCCCUCCCUAUCAAAGCGUGCCCCCAGGGAAAACUCCAGAAACUUUGGGAGCCAGUCAGGAGGCAGGCAAGAAAACCGUCCACUCUAGCUGUUUCAUGUAGGAAAUAAAUCUCUUGAUAAAGAGAUUCGGCCCUCAGAACCACUGGGAGCGCUUGAGGGUGUGAAGGAAGGCCCGCAAGUUUCAGGGAAUCCGGAGAGGCUGGAGUUGAACCCCUACUGUGGCCUGGCAGCCCUCUGCUCCAGCCCUUGGUCCUGUGGGAUCUUAUUGCGCAGCCAGAAACCUAUUCAAAGCCGGCUAGCCAAGGGAGGUGGGGAGAGUGGUUCCCUGCGUCCAGCCCUUGAGAUGCAGCCGGGCAUGUUGGAAGGAAGAGAAAUGGUGCUGACACCACCUGGCCAUCCUUCCUUCCCUGACACUCCUGAGGGAGGCAGGGAGAGAGGAACUGGGAGGGGGGUGGUGGGCCAGAGGAAGCCUCACCACCGUGCGGUCGUGUCAGUGCUGUGUUGAGAGCCGACACACGUGGUCUUCAAUCCUCGCGAGAGCCGAGACUGAGAGGUGGUGUGACCGGCCCAGGCUGGAACGCAGGUCUGUCUGCACAUCAGCUCGGGCCCUGCCUCGGGGUGCUCUCUGAGCCAGGCUGGGCGUCAGGAGUCAUCCACUCGGCACCCACUGAUUGAGCACCCACCGUCUACCACCAGAUUGGGUUCCGGGUGCUUGGAACACGGCAGCAAGCAACACAUGACAAAGACCCCAUCCCGUGGAGUUGCGUUCCACUGGAGGAGUGGGAUCUGACCCUCCCUCUUCUGCGGAGGUGUAGAAUUAAUCUGUGUGGUAAGGAUGGAAACCCAGCAGUGGAGAUGAGGGGCAGGGCUGCUUUAUACAGGGGCCGUGGGGCAGGGGGGCCAGGGACGCUUGAGCACAGACCUGAACGUGGAGGGAAGGAGCACUUAAGAGAGAGGAGACAGCAAGUGCACCCCAGCUGCCUGCCACCCUAGGAAGAGUGGGAUGUGAGCGAAUAGACGUCGGGGGAGGUCAGUGUGGCCGGAAGCAGAGAGCCUGGAGACAAGGUCAGAGAGCAGGUCAGCGCCAUGGACCUUUGGCUUGCUUGAGAUGGAGCAGGCGGUUCUGUACAGAGAGAAACAAGAUCACAGAGGCCUCAGAUGCCUCAGGGCUGCGGCAGUCAUCCCGGGUUAGACUCAGAAGAGCAGGCUCAGGGCUAGAAAUGGGGCAGGUUGGGGCUUGUCAUCGGGACGCCAGAGGGUGGUCUGUGGUGUCCUGGAGUCUGUGGUUCUGCGUCUCUUUAAGUCUCUGCCCGCGUCAGGCUGUGGUGUGAGGGUCGCCAGGUACACGUGACAUCCCGAUGGGCGUGUGCAGCCAGCGCGUGUCGCUUCCGGGGUCUGUGUUGUGCUGCAGGUAUGGGUGUCUGAACGUGAGUGUGUGGACAGGUGAUCUGGGCGGGAGCCCGCAGGUGUAUUUCUUUGUGCCUGUGUGGGCGCCUCGCUGGUCUGUAGGGGGCAGCAUUGGGGAAUGUCUUUGAUUUUGGUCCCUUCACUGUCUGGUCCCCCUGCUGGCUUGACCUUCUGCAGCGCUCUGCUCUAAUUUUCGCAGCAAAUCCGAACAGAGGUCCCUGGGGCCCAGGGGGAUUGGCAUAUGCUCCCUGGGGACUUGGGUUGAGUGUCUGCCUUUUGGGGGCAUCGGACAGCUGAAGUAGAGAAGACACCCACCUCCUGGAUCCCACAUCACAGUGUUUAAACCCAGAGACCUCCUCCUUCUCCAGGGACCCAGUUGGACCAGGGCUUUCAGCACCCAGUUAGGAAGGGUGUCUGAAGUUUGAGUCCUGCCAGCCCACAGUAAGAGUCAUAUUCCCAAGCCUGGAGGCCUUGGACUUCAGCACUGUGGGAAAAACAAACAAACAAACAAAAAUACGCUUAGGAGUCAGAGGAAGCUGGGUUCAAGUCCCACUCCUGUCAUUUACUAGAUGUAGUUCGUAACUGUGGUUGAAUGAUGGCUUGGUUUCCUCUCUGUAAAGUGGGGACCUGCCUCAUGGUGUCAUUAUGAAGAUUAAAUGAGAACGUCCUACGUGCCAGGCCCUGUGCUAAGGGGCUUUGCAUGAGUCACCCUGUUAAACCCUCUACAGUGGAUGCUGUCCCCAUUUUACUGAAGAAGAAACUGAGGUCCAGAGAGGUAAAGUUACCUGCCUGGAGUCACUCAGCUAGGAGUGGGAAAACCUGGGUUUGAACUAGGCACUCUGACUUCAAAAGCAGCAGCGUGACACAGUGAAUAUAAAGCUGAGUGCCUGACUUCUGGUAGGUGAUUGGUCAAUUGUAAUUACUGAUGCCAGAUGGCUAUUCAGGGUCAAACUCCUGACCCCAAAGGAUAGCUCUGGACUCUCCUUUCCCCUUUUAAAUUUUAAAGAAGGCAGUGGAAAAACAUCAGACUUGGGAGACUUGAAGUUCUGAUCCUGGCUCUGCGUCUCAUUCACUAUGUGCCUUUGUACUCAACUUUCCAACCCCCAGCUCCAUUUUUCCCCAUCUGUACAAUGGGCACACUCCUUUCCGGCCUGCCUGUAAGGAUCCAGUGUGUGCAGAAGAGCUUGCAGCCUGUUGACUUGUGUCCUCCCCAAAACGUGUCCACAAACCCCAGUACAUCAGAAAUGACCGUGUUUGGAAAGGGAGUCUUUACAGAGCCAAAGGCAUCCCAUGUGCUUCAGGGAUACAGAGCAAGAAGAGAAGACCCAGGGUCAGCCUCAAGGAACUACCAGCAUGAAUGCGGCAGGCCGAGGAAGAGAAGGCUGUGCACUCAACGGCCACUGGAGUUUGGCAAAGCAAAGGAUCACGCUCUGCAGUUGGUUUUCCACAAACUUCAUCCUGAUGCAGUAAAAGAUAAGCAAUUCUUUAGUCCAGUUAUAGAAAGGUUCUGGGCUCCAAUUUAUGCCUUGAGCCAAGAAUUUAGAGAUUGUAGUUUGUGAUUCUUUCUCUUUGAAUUGUCUAGUGUCAUUGAAGCAGCCAGGCCAUCUUUGAAAUCGUGCCAUCCCUAUCCUAUUCCAUGGCAGCGGCGACUCAGGCCCGCACAGCUUUGCCUUCAGUGGCACUUUUUUCCAGAUGGCCACCGGCCAUGAUGUAAUUAAUGAAUUUAAUUGCAUUAGCUAUUUCAUCACCACAUACCACAGGCUACUGGAUUCUCGUCCCUGGACACUAACUGGAUUUUUGCCACCUUCAGCCCAGCUAGAAUAGAUUAUUAUUUCCUCCCUUUCCCUAGGGGUGUUGUUGUCUGAAACCCACCCCUUCAGACCAGUUUCCAAGCCAGUCAAGUAUCUUGGUUGAAAACAAUGAAAACUGACUCUCAUUAAUUUAAGCAGGACAGGGAUUUAUUGGAAGGACACCAAGCAGCUCACAGAAUCGAUUGGAGAACCAGGCUCAGGGAAAGGACAGAUGUGAAGGGGGCUGGCAGCUCAGGACACAGGCAGGGCCCCUGGAGGAAUUGUCUUACGUCUGGGGCUGCUUCCCAAGCCACCAUCACUGGGCACCGUGGCCUGGGCAUAGCCUCUGGCCCCCAGGAAUGAUCCCCGAUUGUCCUCUGCAGCACCUUAGCCGUCCCCAAAUUCAGGGUGGGCUCCUGAGUGAUGGAGUCAGGUCAUGUGUCUGCUCCUUCUGACCGAAGGCGUGUCAGCCUCUGCACUGGGAGGACAGAGCGCCUUCCUAUGAGGGUCAGCCUAGGAGGGUGGUCCCCCAAACAAGAAAAGGUUUUGAAUGCCGAGCAGGAGAAAAAAACAAAAUCAUGAAACAGCACGCUUUCACCUUGGCCAGGUACCGUGCUAACAGGUUUCCAGCAUCAUCUCAGUUUAAGCUUCACAAUUAUGUUUUGAGAGCUGUUACUUCUAUCGAGCUCAUUUUACAACUGGGGAAACAAGCUCUGAGUUUCUUCAUCAGUAAGCCCCAGACUCUGGGGUCGCUGUGAAGACCAGACUGGACAGCUCAGAGCCAGGCUUCUGGAGGGCUUGCCCUGAAUUUAGGCCAACCUUGGCCUUCGGGCCUCAGAGAAGGGGGAGGACCCUGUCCAGUCUGAGCACUUCCUAAUUGUAGAUGCUGCAGCUGUUGGCCUGCUGGGAAUAGGUCAUGGGCCGACGGGGCAGCAGCCCAGGGACAGUGGCAGACACAGCCAAGCCGCCGAAAGCAAACGGGUCAGGAGCGUGUGUUUUUUGGUGGGCCUCCGCACGUGGGCCAUCUGUCGCGGAGCUGACUGCGACCAACAGCCUAAAGCUGGUGCCCAGUGCUACGUGAACAGAGAGAUGCUGGGUUCUGAGAAACAGAGGCGUCAGAGCCCUCUUGUCUCCCAGUUGGGAAGAGGAAGGGGCAUCCGAAAGAGAGGGAGAGAAGCCAGCCAAAGCCCAGGCAGGGACCCGGGAGCCUUCUGCUGGUGGCCCAGGCCUGCCCCGUCAGCCUAGGGGUCUCCCUCCGUAGACAAGGCUCCUACGAGCAGAGUGCCAUCUCGUCCAGCAUAUCAGGGGUCCUGUGUCAGGGCUACGUCUCCAGUCUCCGACUGGGGGCUUUUAGAGGAGGUGUGUCUUCUCUCAGACUAGGGGCCCUGAAGGCAGGGCUGCCUUAGAACAUGGUGUUCUAAGAAGACUCUGUCAGCAAGAGCCACGCAGUUUGAAGGAGCAGAGCCAGAUGGAACCAGAUUACCCUGAAGGGAGGCUGAGACCCAAAGACCGGCAGGGGCCUGCAGGGUAUUUCCCCCAGGGAGAAGUUGACCAAAACAGUAUUUCAGGACCCUUGCCUCCCCAUCAGGAGGAGUUGGGGUGACAGGGUGAGGUGUGGCUUUAGGAAUGCAACCCCCAGAGCCAGGCAGGAGGCAGCCCUGCGGGGGCCCAGGCUUGGCACUGGGCCGCCGACCCCACCCCUUGGAAACGCCUCCGGUUGUUCUGUCCUGGAUGUUUGCGUCCUUGGCCAGGUUCCUGGGUGAUUGCCUCAUCCCACGGAGGCCAACAGAUGUGCACAGCUGGAGGAGGGGCUCCGGGUGGAAUCCGGCCCUGCCUGGUGCUGGCCUGGGCCAGGGGAGCUGGGGAUUUGGGUCCUAGUCCCCACCCCCACCUCUAUUUGAUGGUGUGGCCCUGGGUAGGGCCACGGCCCCCUGGGGCCUCAGUUUCUUCUGUGUCUCAUGAUGGAGGCUCUCCUUUCUUUCAUCAGACAUCAACCAAAGACCCACAAUGUGACCAGCUCUGUAUCAAGCCCCGGGCACGAGCCAGACCCAGCGGUCCCUGCCAUCUAGGAGUUUGUGCUCCUUGGGGAGCUGAUGUUGAGCCUCUGCAGUGGUUUGUGGGGCUCUGGGCUAACAGGGAGCUUCACAGGAAGCAGUUGCAAUUUUUCCCAACCUCUGGCCACAGCCGUGUGGCGGCAGAUCCAGGCAUGCUGUGGUCACUGUGUUAUUACAAGGCCGUCUGUUUGAAAUCCCAGUCCCAGAGGCGAUUCAAAGCUUUUCCUUCCUUUGUCCCCAGCACCAGGCUUAUGGGACUUGGAGUGUCGUAUGCGGGUGUGUGUGUGUGUUACCCCACAUUGGGGGGUGGGGUGGGGAGGCUGCUUCUUUCCUGGUGUUCUGAUGCCAGUAUCUUGGAGUAUUUAGGGGUCCAUGGUCUUCUUCUGGGAUAUUUCCCCUCUCCAUCUUUUUAAAAUGAAAUUUUUUUAGUUUAAAAAAAUUGUGGUAAAAUAUACAUCACAUAAAAUCUACCUUUUUAGCCAUUUUUAAGUAUACAGCUCAGUGGCAUGAGGCGCCUCCACAUUGUUGGCAGCCAUCACCACUGUCCAUCUCCAAAAUGUCUUUCUGAUCCCAAAUGAAACGCCCCUCAUUUUAUUAUUAUUAUUAUUUAGAUAUUAACCCAACACGUUCAGUAAUCAGUUUAUUUUUUGUUGCACUUUUUCGAUGGCUUUUAUUUUUUUUAACUUUUUAUUUUGUAUUGGGAUAUAGCCGGUUAAUAGUGUGGUGAUAGUUUUGGUUGAACAGAGAGGGGACGCAGCCAUACACACACAUGUAUCCAUUCUCUCCCAAACACCCCUCCCAGCCAGGCCGCCACCUAACACUUAGCACAGUUCCCCGUGCUCUUGUUGGCUAUCCAUUUUAAAUACAGCAGCGUGUACAUGUCCUCCAAACUAUCUGCCCCUUCCCCCCAGCCUUCCGCCUCCCCAUUUUAAAAUGACAGCUGUAUUGAGAUGUGACUUACAUAACAUACCGUUCAUCCAUUCAGGGUGUACACACAGUGGUUUUGAGUCCAUUCACAGGGUUGUACCACCAGUAUUACAAUCCAAGUGAAUACAUUUCAUCACCCCGAAAGGAAGCUCCCUUCUGUGAAACAUCCCCUACUCCGUGCUCCGCAGCCAGCCCUCCAUCCACCAAUCUGUGUUCUGUCUCCAUGGAUCCGCCUCCGCCCGACGCGCCAUAUAAAUGGAAUCUUACGCUGUGUGGCUUUCUGUGUCUGGCUUUUUUCGCUGAGCAUAAUGGUUUCAAUGUCCAUCCAUGUGCCAGAGGUGUCCGUGUUCCAGUUCUCCCCCUCUGUUCUUAAGAUGUAGCCUCUCUGGUGUAGGGGCUGAGGGAAUCGGGGCUCAGCAGGCAACAGUUAGGCACCCGAGUUACCCACUCGCGGUCGGGCUCCUCUCUGUGGAUCGAUGCUGACGGCCGCCGAUGCCCUCAGCCGUGGCAGGCAUCUGAAUGCUGGCCCUGCACUGGGCACGUGUGUGUGCGCACUCUUCAUGGGUCCCCAGGGAGCCCCGGCCUCUGCAGUCCCCGCUCUUCCACAACCUCUUCCAACCUCCCCUUUCCAGUUCCCGCCUGCCCCGUGGUUCCUGUUGUGGGGCCCCUGGGUGUGGUGGGGUGCCUUCCUGGAUGGGUACCAAAGAUGGCACAAUUCAACUCUUUCCUGUGAUGCCUGCUGACCCUUAGCCAAUGGCAAGCCUGCAGGCUGCCCCAUGCCCCGUCCCUCCCCUCACGCCACUUCUCUCUAUUUGACCCCACCCUGCCCAGAAGGGCCAGGCUGGAACAAAUCUGCCCCCUGCAGUGCAAGUUUCCCUCCCUGCUUUCAUCAUAACAUGUGAUUUUCUUGGUGUGUCUCCCAUGGGCUUGGUUGGGUAAAAAGGAAAAUCCCUAACGUCCGUAGGAAACUGCAGCUGCCCAUCCCUGUGGAAUCCUUCUCCCCAGUCCAACCUCCUGGAAACAGAGGGGUGACACUGUGGGAGGGCCAGUCUCAUCCCCUGAGCAAGUCCUGAAGAGGUUACUGAGGUCCCUCUUCAGAACACGGGGCGCUCGGCAAUUGUUCACCCCAGGUCUGCACCCCGGGUGUCAAUUCUGGGGCAAAUGAAGACGUCCCUUCCAAUGUCCUGUCACACGUAUAAUCCCGCCCCCAUUUGCUGACAGGUGCUACAGAGGAAGUGUGGAGAAUGCGCUGGUCCCACCUGGGGUGCCCCGAGGAAGUGACUUUCACAGGCCACAUCAAGAGAGCAUCCUGAGCAAAGGGAAGGAAAUGGCAACCCACUCCAGUAUUCUUGCCUGGAGAAUUCCAUGGACAGAGGAGCAUGGUGGGCUACAGUCCACGGGGUCGCAAAGAGUCAGACACGACUGAGCGACUCACACUUCCACUUGCAUCUUGCUCAGAGAAGUGAGGCAACUUUCCUGAGAUCACACAGCAGGUAUUCAGGGAAGCUGGAUUGACUCUGGGCCCAGAGCUGGACACACAGAACACAGGGUAGGCAUGGCCUCUGGAUCUCUUCUGUGCCCCACGACCCCAGUGGACCCAAGCUGGGUGUCUGUCCCAUCCCCUGGGUGUCUGUCCUGUUUCCUGCCCACCCCUUCUCUUCUCUGGCCUUUCCCUGGGAGCCCACAUGGGGCAGGUAUAGCCAGCAUGUGAUCAUGUCAGGGAUGAAAGAAGCCUGACUGGCAAGAGAGAUGAGGGCUUUGGUGCUAGCAGGCCUGAGAUCCCCACGCUCCUCCUCACUGACCCAGAGUAGUCCCUCCCCCUCUGAUUGUCAGUUUCCUCGCUUGUCAAAUGCCUUUCUUAACUUAUAUCAUUCCCAUUUUACAGGACUUCCCUGGUGGCUCAGACAGUAAAGUGUCUGCCUACAAUGUGGGAGACCUGGGUUCGAUCCUUAGGUCAGGAGGAUCCUCUGGAGAAGGAAAUGGCAACCCACUCCAGUACUCUUGCCUGGAGAAUCCCGUGGACGGAGGAGCCUUGUGGGCUACAAUCCAGGGGGUCACAAAGAGUCGGACACGACUGAGCGACUAAAAUUCACUUUCUUUCACACAGAGACAGAGGCAAGGUGGGGUGCCCAGGCCCCCAACACCCAAGCUGAGGCUCUUUCCUCUACCCCUGGCCAGUGUCCUCUCAGGGGUUUGGGCAGAGCCAGUCCCGGCAGACUCAGGGUGGGCAGUUGAUACAGAUGCCCAGUUUUCUGAAGACCAGUGGCACUGGGGCUCUCACGACAGUCUUGCUGGGGGCACCACAGUUCAAGCCAGCUCCCCUCCCCGCACCCAUCUCUGGGCCUGCCUGGGAGCUGACUUUGACUUCCCUGGGGGCCCUGUCUGAUCUGUGCAGACCCUUCCUCACAAACACCAGGCUCCAGCAGUGCGCAGCAUCCCUAAGGGUCUUGGACCCAGAUUCCCGUGUCCCAGACACAGUGUGGUGGGAUAUGGUACCCAGCACGGCAGCGGGGAUGGAGUUUGGCUGAGUCUGUGCUCAUAGGCUUCUCCUGUCCACUCCUGGGUUUGGCUCUGACUCCAGACCUCAGGAGCAGGAAGGCAGAGCCCUGAUGGUCCUCAGUCUAGGCUCAGACACACAUUCACAUCCCUGAGCCCCAGUCCAAGGCUUAGCCUUGACUCUGAUUCCAGGCUAAGACCCCAAACCUGUCCCUAGACUGAGUCUUGCCCCCCAACUCCGUUCCAAGCCCUGAUCAUAGUCCCAGGCUGAGACCUGCCCCUGGUUCUAGGCUGAGCUCUUUCAAAGGAUUAAGCUCAAAACCUUGCCCCCAGCUGAUUUGACUCUGGUCAGAAGUUCAAGCAGGAUCCAGCUCUAAUUUCAGUCUGGACCUCAGUCUUAGACUGAACUGUGAUUGUGGCCACGGACUGACUCUAAUUUCCAAACAACAGAACAACACUUGACCUGAAAUGUAACCCAAGUGGGAGCUCUUCAAAUGGCAGAAUUUGUGCUGAGUCUAGAAGGAAUGUUAGUGCUUCACUGGGCAGAUUUGUGGGGACUGUGUGCCCGGGGGCUCAAAGAGGAGAGGGGAGAAGGAAACAGCAUCUCAAAGAGGAGACGGGAGUGGCCGGAGGGGGUGAAAGCUGUCCCAGGGGAGGGGCUGGAAGGACUCUGGACUCAGAACCCACAGCUGUGGCUCUAAGCUCGUUUACUGUAAACUUAUUUUGGAGAAGUCCACUGGCCUCCCCAUGGCUGUUUCUUCAUCUUAAAAGGGAUCCACCUGCUUUCCUCUCGGUCCCGUAGUUCCCUGAGAGUGUGGUCUCUGCCUUGCCUUUGGGUCUUCUUACAUUCUGACCCUUUGCCUGGGCCACACUCUUCUUUCCUUGCCCGCUCCUACAUCCCCCAAGUGAAAUCCCCCUUCUUCCAGCAAGUCUUCCUGAAGGGUCUUGUGGUGGACAUAACAUGUGUCCAGAUCACCCUUCAGUGAAAGACUUGGUGUUCCGGGUCUGGAAGGCUGUCUGCAGGUGGCCUUUGCCCUCCAAUCGUCAUUCACUUCAGGGCUGCCCGCAUCCAGAGACUGAUCAGGGACUGGUGGCAGGAGGAGAAUCAAAGACCUCCUUGCGGCCAUCUCCGACCAACUCUGGACAGCGCCCUUGCUACCCCUCCCUUUCCCAGCUGUUGCUCUCAGAGCACUCCCCACUAAGCACCUGUGUGCUGACCUCCAGAGAACCCAGCCUCCGACACCCCUAUUUCAAGUCCCAGAUGAUACCCAAGGCACUCGGUCAUCUCCUCUCUAAUACUCAUGAGGGUGUCGGGUGCUUCCUCUAUCCUGUCUCCUUGCCCUGGAUUGUCGUGCGAGAGGGAUGAACGCAGCACCAGCAGCACAGGGCACAGAUGGAGAUGCUGGGGGGAACUCAAGAGGCAGAGAAGUAACAGCAUCCGCAGGGCCCUGAACUCUCAUCCUCUUCACCAUGGGUUCUCAGCUGGCACGUCCUCUGCAUGGCCAGGGCUCCUGUAGAGAGGCCUGACCCAGCCAGCCAGCUGGACAUGCAACCAUCACCAAGAGAAAGGACCCACUCCAGACUGCUGGCCAGAGAGAAUGAAGACGGGGCUCUUCUGUGCUGGUUACUGCUAUGUCUCCUAGAACAGCACCUGGUCCCUUAAGUAGGCACUUGGCACGCUGCUGAAUGAAUAAGUGGGGGUGAAUUGGACAGACUCUGUUCUCCAGUGGCUCCCCUUCCAAUAGGCAGCACUGGCAGCUAACCAGGCAGUUGUGCGUCCUGGGCUGAGUGAGGUGAUGAAGACAUGGGGGGUGCUGGGGGCAGGGCAGUGAGGAAAGGCAGAGAACCCUGCUGGGAGGAUGACGGAAGGCUUCUUGGAUGAGGUCGCAUCUAACCAAGACCUGAGUCCUGAGCAGGAAUUCUCCAUCUAGGAGGGAGGAGGAGAGAGUUCUGGGCAGAGGGAAGUAAAGGGUUAAAGUCCUGAAGGCAAGAGAGAGCCUGGAAAGUUGACAGAAUGUAAAAAAGUUUUGUGUGUCUGGAUCAGAGUGGGGAAGGGGACAGGCACAGAUGAGAGUGGGUUGCGGGCAGGGGUCCGCUUAGGAAGGAUCCGUGCAGACGUUAAGCCAGGAAGUGACAUGACCAGAUCGUAUUUCUGCAUUCUGGUGUUUUCUAAACAUUCAUAAUCUCCGGAUCUUUGCCAUACCCAGCAUCUCUUGUCCCCGUGAUAAAUACUAUUCACUUAAUACUUUACCUGUGACUGAGUCACUUUAAUUAAACACACUCAUUCAAAAGGGAAACCCUUUGUAAACUAUCCUAAUUUGUGUCAUACACACAAACUCAGUGUAAAACUAAACCUAAUGAAAAUGAAAUAAUGUUCCAUUUCACCACCUGCUACAGGCUGAUCCCAAGUCUAUCUUCUCUUAUUAAAAAGGAGGAUUAACAUGUUGGCAAGAUGUUAAAGAUGAGAUAGCACCAAAAACGACUUUCUCCUUAACUAGAUCACCAGAAAGAUUUGAAGAGGAUUCAAAGAAAACAGCUUUCUUGCCAUGAAAGGCAGUGUUACUUCAAACUGUAUCUGGGUUUCUUCUAAGAUUAUUUCAUAACAACAAAAUAACCCUAUACAUGACCAGUGAUACAAUUUCCACAGAGUCUCACUAUAAACCUUUCAGAUAUCUUUGUCUGAAUGGAAGUAGGGUAUGGAAGAGGAAAUGGGGUGGAUGGCUAAGAAAACUGAAGAAGCCAAUCAAUCAAAUUUUAUCCCCUCUCUCCUCUUACACUGUAAAACCUACCCAUCCAUGGUGAGCGUGUCUUUUUCCUUUGCUGAGCGUCUGCUGGCUGUAGAGGGACGUGAGUUUUGGUGGCCAAGGAAGAGGUAAAACUAUGCUGCUAUCCUAGGAAUUCCCAGACUCAGCUUAGGGAGGGCAAAUGAUCUCAAUCAUUGCUAAUGGACUGAGGACGUA